UGUGGGAGCGGGCUUGCUCGCGAAUGCGCAGUGUCAGUCACUUAAUAGGCUGACUGAUUCACCGCAUUCGCGAGCAAGCCCGCUCCCACA
RNAcentral lists this unclassified non-coding RNA (90 nucleotides) under Pseudomonas antarctica. Lineage: Bacteria; Pseudomonadati; Pseudomonadota; Gammaproteobacteria; Pseudomonadales; Pseudomonadaceae. The record is from RNAcentral.